Molecule: long non-coding RNA, 324 nt
Filed under: Felis catus (domestic cat)
Lineage: Eukaryota; Metazoa; Chordata; Mammalia; Carnivora; Felidae
Description: lncRNA (ENSFCAG00000047675.1)
Source: RNAcentral
CAGUAAAAAGUUUUCUCUAUGGAAUAUAUCAUUUCAUCUCCAACAUAAAACACUCAAGAAGAGACUGAGGCAGAGCAAGGAUUCUGUGGGUCAAGAAUUCAGUCAAGGCACACUUCAAGGGACUGGACACCGAAGUGUUUCAAUCAGACUAUAAGAAGGCUGAGCUGAAGACUAGAAUUAGCUGAAGGCUGGCUCACUCACUUUUCUGGCAAUUGAUGUUUGCUGUUGUCCAAGGUCCACCUGGGGCCUCUCCAGUAGCCUGAACUUUACAGUAAGUGGUUGAGUUCCCAGAGUAAGAAAGAGGGUCAAACAGAUGCCAUGUCC